This is a long non-coding RNA of Dermacentor andersoni, 4015 nucleotides long. RefSeq lists it as uncharacterized. Lineage: Eukaryota; Metazoa; Arthropoda; Arachnida; Ixodida; Ixodidae. The record is from RefSeq and is a predicted model, not a curated record.
GGAAUGCAGUCAAAACAUGUUCAGAAGCGUAAGUGAUAAUGUUAUUAUUACGAGUUAAUGAUGUACACAAACACAUUCAACAACUCAUUUAGUGAUUUUAUCAAGCAAUGACCAUAUGAAACCAACAAUCAUGGAAACCACAGGAGGAAUAAACUUAAUUUGUUUAACAUGCCAGACAACUGUAAGAGACGACUGAACUUGUGAAUAUGUUAACGCAAAACAUUCUUUGCCUGCAAAAGGACUUCUUGGGCAAGUUGGUGCUUAGAUUUCCUAGGUAUACUUUGUGGCGCAAAAUACAUUUCUGGAAAAGGGACAGAAGAAAGGGAGACAGUGAAGCGCCAAACUACCAACUGUUUAAUGACAGCCUGAACAAACGUAUAGAAGAAAAUACAACUUCCGCUCAUGCGCAGGGAGCCAAGGUGUGACAGAACAACGUGGUCAUGAGAACAUACGUUGUAUGAAGCACAUUUCUGCGGAAUAUAAUACGAUAGAUGUAUCGCUGACACAAUCAGACCCUUUCUUUUUAAUAUAAAACGCUUCCAACAACUCCCGCGGCCCCUCGUGUGUGAUCCGGGGGCUGCCAGAAGCAGCACGCCAAACAUUUCAGGGACUGCGUUGAAGGGGUGGUCUACGAAAUACCCCUAGAUUGCGGCAAGUCAUACGUCGGACAAACGGGACGUUGCAUUAAUGACAGACUGAGGGAGCACGCUAAUAGCAUCGGCAAGAGUGAGAACGCGCAUCUUCCUGCGCACUGUAAAGCCUGUCGUUGUAGACCAUGCUUUGAACAAGUAUUGAUUCUUGGCAGAAGUAGGGAGCAAACUGCAAGGGAGUUGUUGGAAGCAUUUUAUAUUAAAAAGAAAGGGUCUGAUUGUGUCAGCGAUACAUCUAUCGUAUUAUAUUCCGCAGAAAUGUGCUUCAUACAAAGUAUGUUCUCAUGACCACGUUGUUCUGUCACACCUUGGCUCCCUGCGCAUGAGCGGAAGUUGUAUUUUCUUCUAUACGUUUGUUCAGGCUGUCAUUAAACAGUUGGUAGUUUGGUGCUUCACUGUCUCCCUUUCUUCUGUCCCUUUUCCAGAAAUGUAUUUUGCGCCACAAAGUAUACCUAGGAAUUCUUUGCCUGAGUCGGCCAUUUUGGGGUACCUGGCAUACUGAGCAGCGCUCUGCCACUAGAAGGUGCAGUGUGUCUGGUGCAUGAAGGUAUGUGACAAUGUCACGCGCAGCAAACAAUGAGAAGUUGUAGUUGUACAGAUGACUGCAAGGUGUUUUCCCACUGCAGAAGCAGCAAUGUGUUGUGCAAGCGAUGAUGUGCUAUGCUGACAAGGUUGCCAUGGAGUGAAUUGUAUGUUUAUGUGAGAUGUAUAUGCAUCACACAUAUGCAUGUCAAGGGUGAAGACAAGCUACUGUUGAAAUUUGCAUGACUUGAGUAAGAAGGUGCAAGUGUAAAAAAACUAAAACAAAAAAAUAUGAUGGAAACACAAAACAUUUCAUACUAUGUGAAUGCAAUAAAUGCAGUAGGAAAGUGGAAAUGUAUAAAUAUGAGUGUGUGAAAAUUAGAAAUUUUGAACAUAAAUUAAAAUUGUUGAAUAUUUGUUUCUGUAUAGACACAAGUGAUAACACUUAUUGAAGUUUAUGUGGAGAUGGAUCGAAGCAAGUAAUGACUGUUCCGAAUGACUUUGAUGCUCAAGAGAGUGAGAGAGAUAGAGAACAACUAUUUAAUGCAAAGCCCUAGUCUGGGUUCACUGAGAAAAGGGAGGGUCAUCUGACAUUACUCACACUCAUCGAUGAUGAAAAAGAAAUAAUUUUGUGGUCUGAAAUGGCAGUUUCAAUUUCAAUGGAUUCUUCACUGAAAACUUUGCUGAAGAAUAAGAGGUCAAGAAUAUUCACUCCCUGAGUACAUACACCGAGAACCUGCUGAAGACUGAAUGUUAGCAUGACAUCAAUGUGUAAGUCAGAGGAAGGACUGUGUCCGUAACUCCACUUUUUCCAUUCUGUUUGUGGGACAAUAAAAUUACCAGUAAUUAUUAAGUUAGUUCUCUAUAUUUCCAAAGGUUAUCAUAUCAUUUCUGCAUAAACUGAGCAUCAGCAUUUGGUGUCUGAUACACAGAAUGUAAUAUGCAUGAUGCUCCCCAAACAGAGACACUCAAAAACAAACUUUCAUGGUUAUCAAUCCAAUCUAGUUAUCUUACAUCAACACUAAUAGCUGUGAGGUCACCGCCUCGAGAGCAUCUAUCUUUCCUAAACAGUUAGUGGUUUGGCGAAAUGAUUUCAUUACCAUGCACCCCGUCGUGCAAACAAGUUUCAGAUCUAACACAUAGUACAUGCGGAUCGUGUACUAGUAAAAGAUCAUGCAGUUUCUCUAUUUCGGUGGCAGUUUCUAUACUUCAUUGACAAUACACUGGGCAUUUGGUUAAAGCAGUUGAAACUGCUGCGACUGUGACUGCUAUUUCGUGUGUUUUUAUCGCAUUUCUGCACUCUCUUUUUUCUUUUGAAUUAGUUUCCGCAUGUUUUGUACGUCGUCCCAAAUGUACAAGUCAUUGUCAACGCGAAUCUUAUCAUAAAUAAGCCUGACUCUAUUGCCACUGUCUUUUUUUUUCUUGCGCACUGCUCCAGAGCAGACGCCGCUUGCGCAGUAUGUCUGCACAAUAAUCAUCUUGCAAGGAUAUUCCUGUUCCCUUCUAUUUUUGUGCAUUUUCCAAGAGAGCUUGGUUUUCAGAAUAGUCCUGUAAACACGUAAUGACUGGCCUUCCUGUGGGUGUUUUCCCAAGUCUGUGGAUUCGCGCGACAGAUGUAUAAUUUAUUCCUAACUUACCCUGAAAGACAUCCCGGACAACCUUAUCCUGUAGUAUCGUUUCUGUUUCAUUCGGAUCUUCAGAAAUUCCAAAAGCUAUGAAAAACUGCGGUUUUCCAAAUCAGUAAGUUUUUCUUGGUGAAUUUUAAGUAUUUCCUGCAUUGCACUUACAGCCGCAUUUACUUCUUCGUUUUCUUCAUUCUUUGCUUUUAAUUCAAUGAUACUACUUUCCAAGCUUCUUAAAUACUUUUCGAAACCGUGUAUCGCUUUUUCCAUGGACUCAAGGCAUUCUUUCAAAGAAGCAAUGUCUUCUCUAAUUGUCUGUUGGUCACUCAUUAAUGACUGGAACAUUUCCUCAAUGGUUGGACCUGGAUUUUCUUCCAUAUCUCCACAAACUAGGAGCUUGCAAGAAUUUAAACAAUCACAGGCAAUACUCAUACACACAUAUGGGCACAGCAGUACAACCAGAAAUCUAUCAUCACUGCUAUAGUAACAUCGGCACUAUUGUAACUAACCUGUACAAGAACAACAUGACGCAUAGUCAGCUAUGUCUGCCCAGCGCUUUUUCCAUGCCCACUUUUGUCCCUUUUUGAAAUACUUGCCAAGCAGUCACAUGGGAGAGAGAGUCGCAGUCAACACUGCAUGUCUAUGGGUCUGUAUGGGUGUAACGUGAUUCAAGAAUACAACGGUUUGCAAAAUUGACUGCUAUGUAGGUGCAUUUUUCUGUACAUGUCUUCCCGCUCAUUAUAUGUUGAGGGAAACAAGUCAUACCAUACCCACACCGACUAUGGUCAUGUUUAGGCACGCAUGAUCCUGUUAGCAUGCUAUCAUUGCUUUGAAAGGUCCUUCUGUGUUGGUUAUUCCAUUGCCGACGUUUUUAUUUUUCUGGCAUGAGAACUGCUACAUCUACCUAGCUAGAAGAAGGAACAGUGAGAGUUGGGCGAGUCGGGCAGCAGAACAGUUGGGAGGGGACAGAGGGGGUGCGCUACUUGAUGGGGCAUGUGGGCUGCACCUGAGCAUGCGGCCCGCAUAUUUGAGACCCCUGCUUUAUACCCACAUUUAGCAAUGUACUGUUCCUUCGUUUGACUACUGUUAUAGUCAUGGUGCACAGGGUACGAUAAUGUUUCACUUGUCUUUCAUUCAAAAUCUUAUCUAUUGACUCGAUGUCCAGUUGUGAAUGGUGUUAUACAUGUAUCAAAUAAAGUAAGUAAGCCCUUCUAUUACCAA